CUAAUGCAAAAAGGAAAGCUACUAUACUACCACGGUCUCACUGGUCGGGCGCGAUGCCCUUGCCGCGGUCCUCUCUCGGCAACCCUGUACCUACCACUGGAAAUAGAGUGGGGUGAGAACUAUCUUCCAUAGUUCCCAGUGGGCUCGGCCGCCGACUCUGCCGAUCUCCCCACUAGGUCCAAGUGGGCACAAGCAACAACAGAUAGAUAGAUAGAUAUGUAUCUGAAAGCUGUAAAUGCGAUAGUAGGAAAACUAUGCUACUAUGCCCAUAAUCAUGAAUAUGAAUGCAUGCAUCAUAUAAUAAAGGUUUGCUACCAUGCUAACAAAUUCGAUCCAUGUUCGAGUAGCAAUGUUCAAUGACAUUCUUAAACCUUUACUCUUUCCAUUUACCCAAUCUGUGGCGAGGCCCUAGGGCUCGCCCAUAACUCACCCUUCAAUCCCAAAGUGGGGAGGGAGCUCCAUGUGCACCCAGGCCCGGGACCGUCUGCGGACCUCCAUGUGGUCCGGACCUCCAAGUGGUCCUAGUCG
RNAcentral lists this long non-coding RNA (528 nucleotides) under Ananas comosus (pineapple). RNAcentral describes it as "long non-coding RNA (ACOM_LNC043850)". The record is from RNAcentral. Lineage: Eukaryota; Viridiplantae; Streptophyta; Magnoliopsida; Poales; Bromeliaceae.